GACGAACGCUGGCGGCGUGCUUAACACAUGCAAGUCGAACGGUGAAGCUCCAGCUUGCUGGAGUGGAUCAGUGGCGAACGGGUGAGUAACACGUGAGCAACCUGCCCCUGACUCUGGAAUAAGCGCUGGAGACGGCGUCUAAUACUGGAUACGAGAAGGGCCCGCAUGGGCACUUUCUGGAAAGUUUUUCGGUUGGGGAUGGGCUCGCGGCCUAUCAGCUUGUUGGUGAGGUAAUGGCUCACCAAGGCGACGACGGGUAGCCGGCCUGAGAGGGCGACCGGCCACACUGGGACUGAGACACGGCCCAGACUCCUACGGGAGGCAGCAGUGGGGAAUAUUGCACAAUGGGCGAAAGCCUGAUGCAGCGACGCCGCGUGAGGGAUGACGGCCUUCGGGUUGUAAACCUCUUUCAGCAGGGAAGAAGCGAAAGUGACGGUACCUGCAGAAGAAGCACCGGCUAACUACGUG
This 468-nucleotide ribosomal RNA is filed under the name uncultured bacterium. RNAcentral's name for it is "partial 16S ribosomal RNA". It matches the Rfam family "Bacterial small subunit ribosomal RNA", at positions 28 to 507 of the family's 1533-position model. The record is from RNAcentral.